RNAcentral lists this ribosomal RNA (301 nucleotides) under uncultured bacterium. RNAcentral's name for it is "partial 16S ribosomal RNA". It matches the Rfam family "Bacterial small subunit ribosomal RNA", at positions 509 to 807 of the family's 1533-position model. The record is from RNAcentral.
CAGCCGCCACGGUAAAACAGAGGAUGCAAGCGUUAUCCGGAAUGAUUGGGCGUAAAGCGUCUGUAGGUGGCUUUUCAAGUCCGCCGUCAAAUCCCAGGGCUCAACCCUGGACAGGCGGUGGAAACUACCAAGCUAGAGUACGGUAGGGGCAGAGGGAAUUUCCGGUGGAGCGGUGAAAUGCGUUGAGAUCGAAAAGAACACCAACGACGAAAGCACUCUGCUGGGUCGACACUGACACUGAGAGACGAAAGCUAGGGGAGCAAAUGGGAUUAGAUACCCCUGUAGUCCCUGUCUCUUAUAC